This 253-nucleotide ribosomal RNA is filed under the name uncultured bacterium. RNAcentral describes it as "partial 16S ribosomal RNA". It matches the Rfam family "Bacterial small subunit ribosomal RNA", at positions 524 to 776 of the family's 1533-position model. The record is from RNAcentral.
UACGGAGGAUCCAAGCGUUGUCCGGAUUUAUUGGGUUUAAAGGGUGCGUAGGCGGAUAAUUAAGUCAGUGGUGAAAUCUUGCGGCUCAACCGUAAAAUUGCCAUUGAAACUGAUUAUCUUGAGUACAGUUGAGGUGGGCGGAAUGUAUCAUGUAGCGGUGAAAUGCUUAGAUAUGAUACAGAACACCUAUUGCGAGAGCAGCUCACUAAACUGCAACUGACGCUGAGGCACGAAAGCGUGGGGAUCAAACAGG